GUUUUAAUAAUUUAAUAAAAAUAUUAGUCUUGUAAACUAAACUUAAGUUCCACUUUUAAAACU
RNAcentral lists this transfer RNA (63 nucleotides) under Coleoptera sp. 10 KM-2017. Its description in RNAcentral is "tRNA-Thr". The record is from RNAcentral. Lineage: Eukaryota; Metazoa; Arthropoda; Insecta; Coleoptera.